Molecule: ribosomal RNA, 501 nt
Filed under: uncultured bacterium
Lineage: Bacteria
Description: partial 16S ribosomal RNA
Rfam family: Bacterial small subunit ribosomal RNA
Source: RNAcentral
AUUGAACGCUGGCGGCAUGCCUUACACAUGCAAGUCGAACGGCAGCACGGGUGCUUGCACCUGGUGGCGAGUGGCGGACGGGUGAGGAAUACAUCGGAACGUACCUUAUCGUGGGGGAUAACGCAGCGAAAGCUGAGGUAAUACCGGAUACGCCGUGGGGGGGAAAGCGGGGGAUCGCAAGACCUCGCGCGAUGUGAGCGGACGAUGCCUGAUUAGCUUGUUGGUGGGGUAAAAGCCCACCAAGGCGACGAUCAGUAGCUGGUCUGAGAGGACGAUCAGCCACACUGGGACUGAGACACGGCCCAGACUCCUACGGGAGGCAGCAGUGGGGAAUUUUGGACAAUGGGGGCAACCCUGAUCCAGCAAUGCCGCGUGAGUGAAGAAGGCCUUCGGGUUGUAAAGCUCUUUUGUCAGGGAAGAAACACCGGCUCUGACACAGUCCGGGAAUGACGGUACCUGAAGAAUAAGCACCGGCUAACUACGUGCCAGCAGCCGCCGUAA